Molecule: ribosomal RNA, 449 nt
Filed under: uncultured bacterium
Lineage: Bacteria
Description: partial 16S ribosomal RNA
Rfam family: Bacterial small subunit ribosomal RNA
Source: RNAcentral
GUGGGGAAUCUUCCGCAAUGGACGAAAGUCUGACGGAGCAACGCCGCGUGAGUGAAGAAGGUUUUCGGAUCGUAAAGCUCUUUCGUUAGGGACGAACGUGCUCUUUGUGAAUAAUGAGGAGUAAUGACGGUACCUAAAUAAGAAGCCACGGCUAACUACGUGCCAGCAGCCGCGGUAAUACGUAGGUGGCAAGCGUUGUCCGGAAUUAUUGGGCGUAAAGCGCGCGCAGGCGGGAUAUCAAGUCUGUCUUAAAAGUGCGAGGCUCAACCUCGUGAGGGGACAGAAACUGGUAUUCUUGAGUGUCGGAGAGGAAAGUGGAAUUCCAAGUGUAGCGGUGAAAUGCGUAGAGAUUUGGAAGAACACCAGUGGCGAAGGCGACUUUCUGGACGAUGUCUGACGCUGAGGCGCGAAAGCUAGGGGAGCGAACGGGAUUAGAAACCCCGGUAGUC